RNAcentral lists this long non-coding RNA (789 nucleotides) under Helianthus annuus (common sunflower). RNAcentral describes it as "sRNA HanXRQr2_Chr10g0464761". Lineage: Eukaryota; Viridiplantae; Streptophyta; Magnoliopsida; Asterales; Asteraceae. The record is from RNAcentral.
UUGCAUACCAGACGAAGCAAGUGACAGUUUAGAUCAUAUCAUAUAAAAUCAUGAGUGCUAAAUGGUUUCAGCAACGUAACACACCAAAUGUUGCAUAAUAAUAACUAAAUAGUAUUGUUUAUUCCAAUGUGAAAAUAAAUUCAGGUUAAAUCUUCUUAGAACAUCAUAACUAGACGACAAACACUGCUAAAUUAGCAUCAUGUAUGCUCAACCACUAUAGGAUACUACAAUAACUUCAACAUAAGUCUACAAAUUCGUUCUCAGCUAUUCAUUAUUCUGAUUAAGUUCUUCAGCAACCUUCUGUUACGUGUCGAAGCCCAUGUCGAGCAUGAAGGCCAAAGACGAGUUAAGCCCAAAGGGAGAUCCAGAAGUCAAAGCCCAGGUGGGAGAUAAUGGGCCAGGAGUCAAAGCUCAGGUGCAAGAUGUGUGAGCAGGGAAUUAGCCAACGUGUUCUAGUCUUUUGAUUUAGCUUUGCUUAAAUAAAGGAAUGGUGGGGAUGCCCACGUUUUCCAGUUAACGUUUACUUCCUAAAAGUUGUUAGGAGUAGCUUUGAAGUUUUCUAAUUGUUUUUCCCUUUAAAUUGUAAUCCUUCGUUAUCAGAAAAUUGCCUCACUAUCUUGCCUUCUUCCUCCUUGCUAUUACUCUAUCUCUCAAAUACUCCUCUAUCUUCUGCAACUAUUGUGAUUAACCUGUUCAACCCAUAGCACCUUCUGACCUCCUAAGUAACAACAAUUCAAUCACAUCCUACUACUUAACAAAGAGCACACAAUUUGAACAAAUAAAAGAUGA